CUAAGUUUGAUGGCGACCGGCGCACGGGUGAGUAACACGUAUCCAACCUGCCGAUGACUCGGGGAUAGCCUUUCGAAAGAAAGAUUAAUACCCGAUGGCAUAGUUCUUCCGCAUGGUAGAACUAUUAAAGAAUUUCGGUCAUCGAUGGGGAUGCGUUCCAUUAGGUUGUUGGCGGGGUAACGGGCCCACCAAGCCUUCGAUGGAUAGGGGUUCUGAGAGGAAGGUCCCCCACCAUUGGAACUGAGACACGGUCCAAACUCCUACGGGAGGCAGCAUG
Molecule: ribosomal RNA, 277 nt
Filed under: uncultured bacterium
Lineage: Bacteria
Description: partial 16S ribosomal RNA
Rfam family: Bacterial small subunit ribosomal RNA
Source: RNAcentral